This 253-nucleotide ribosomal RNA is filed under the name uncultured bacterium. RNAcentral's name for it is "partial 16S ribosomal RNA". It matches the Rfam family "Bacterial small subunit ribosomal RNA", at positions 524 to 776 of the family's 1533-position model. The record is from RNAcentral.
UACAGAGGUGGCAAGCGUUGUUCGGAUUUAUUGGGCGUAAAGGGUCCGUAGGCGGCCUGGAAAGUCGGAUGUGAAAUCCCACAGCUUAACUGUGGAACUGCAUUCGAAACUUCCAGGCUAGAGUGUGAGAGGGGUAAAGGGAAUUCCCGGUGUAAGGGUGAAAUCUGCAGAGAUCGGGAGGAAUACCAGUCGCGAAGGCGCUUUACUGGCUCACCACUGACGCUCAGGGACGAAAGCUAGGGGAGCAAACGGG